CGGCAGUCUACCAUGCAAGUCGAACGGCAGCACAGAGGAGCUUGCUCCUUGGGUGGCGAGUGGCGGACGGGUGAGGAAUACGUCGGAAUCUGCCUAUUUGUGGGGGAUAACGUAGGGAAACUUACGCUAAUACCGCAUACGACCUACGGGUGAAAGCGGAGGACCUUCGGGCUUCGCGCAGAUAGAUGAGCCGACGUCGGAUUAGCUAGUUGGCGGGGUAAAGGCCCACCAAGGCGACGAUCCGUAGCUGGUCUGAGAGGAUGAUCAGCCACACUGGAACUGAGACACGGUCCAGACUCCUACGGGAGGCAGCAGUGGGGAAUAUUGGACAAUGGGCGCAAGCCUGAUCCAGCCAUGCCGCGUGUGUGAAGAAGGCCUUCGGGUUGUAAAGCACUUUUGUCCGGAAAGAAAAGCACUGGGUUAAUACCCUGGUGUCAUGACGGUACCGGAAGAAUAAGCACCGGCUAACUUCGUGCCAGCAGCCGCGGUAAUACGAAGGGUGCAAGCGUUACUCGGAAUUACUGGGCGUAAAGCGUGCGUAGGCGGUUUGUUAAGUCUGAUGUGAAAGCCCUGGGCUCAACCUGGGAAUGGCAUUGGAUACUGGCAACCUAGAAUGUGGUAGAGGGUGGCGGAAUUCCCGGUGUAGCAGUGAAAUGCGUAGAUAUCGGGAGGAACAUCCGUGGCGAAGGCGGCCACCUGGACCAACAUUGACGCUGAGGC
RNAcentral lists this ribosomal RNA (720 nucleotides) under uncultured bacterium. RNAcentral describes it as "bacterial SSU rRNA". It matches the Rfam family "Bacterial small subunit ribosomal RNA", at positions 40 to 752 of the family's 1533-position model. The record is from RNAcentral.